CUGGGAUCCGAAGCCCUAAUGGAGCUCGAGACAAAGAGGAUAUUGCUUGAUAUUUUCAAAGAGAAGCAACAAAAAAGUGCUGAAGCUGGCACAAUACCAAGUUUUUAUAAGAAGAAACCUGAAGAAGGAUCAAUCAGUCACAGGGUCCAAAGAUUGGCAAAAUAUCGGUUUUUAAAUAAGCAAUCAGAUCUUUUGCUUAAUGCUGAUGACCUGGAUGCAAUGUGGGUUUGCUUGAGAGAAAACUGUGUUAUUGAUGAUGCUACUGGUGCAGAAAAGAUGAAUUAUGAAGAUUUUUGCCACAUAGCCUCAGUAUGUACAGAACAAAUAGGCCCCAAAUGUCGACGGUUUUUUAGCCCUUCUAAUUUCAUGAAGUUUGAGAAAGAUGAAUCUGGAAGAAUUGCCAUUUUGCCCUUUUACCUUUAUGUGAUGCGCACAGUUUCACUUACCCAGGCCAGAAUAGAUAUGAGUGAACUUGAUGAGGAUUCAGAUGGUUUCCUCCAGCCUCAUGAAAUGGAGGCUUAUAUACGAGGUCUUAUUCCUAAUUUAGCACAACUACGCGAUAUGCCUGCACAAUUUGUUCAGAUGUACUGUCGCAUAGCUGCACACAAAUUCUUCUUCUUCUGUGAUCCUCAUAGGCGAGGGAAGGCCUGCAUAAAGAAGGUGCUCCUUAGUAAUUGUCUUCAGGAACUAAUGGAAUUGCACCAGGAAAGUGAGGAAGAAGUCACUGACACUGAACAAGCUGAAAAUUGGUUUUCUUUGACAUCUGCACAAC
RNAcentral lists this unclassified non-coding RNA (772 nucleotides) under Hevea brasiliensis (rubber tree). The record is from RNAcentral. Lineage: Eukaryota; Viridiplantae; Streptophyta; Magnoliopsida; Malpighiales; Euphorbiaceae.